Molecule: long non-coding RNA, 632 nt
Organism: Haliotis rubra (blacklip abalone)
Lineage: Eukaryota; Metazoa; Mollusca; Gastropoda; Lepetellida; Haliotidae
Exons: 3
Source: RefSeq, a predicted model, not a curated record
CGAGGACAGAGAGCGCAGGAUACCAUAGUGACGUCACAAAGCCGUCUCACAAUGCUCCCGAUCUCGGAUAAGAAGUUCCGUUCUUCAUCACGGACUCUGGCAUUUAAUGGCCCCACGCCGUCUUUGACGAUCUGGGAAUCGUGGUAUUGUACAUGGCCAUUACUGAGGACAGAGGGAGCAGGAUUCCAUAGUGACGUCACAAAGCCGUCUCACAAUGUACCUCCAACAUUGGUGUAACUGAACAAUAUAUUCUCUCGAGCGAAGAAGCAUGUUGGAAUUUCAAGGGUUCAUCUAAAUAUUAACUCAUAUUCUUAGCGCUAAUGAAAAUGUUCUUUUUAUCCUUGGAGGUCAUGAAAGACGUAUAUAACUGUAAAUGUCAUCAUCCGAAUCCCAGGGAAGGUCCGCGGUUCGAAUCCCACCACGGACUCUAACAUUUUAUGGCCCCUACGUAAAGAUAUAUUAAGAGGAAGAUAGAUGUAUUCACAAAUCAGCAUUAAUAGCAGUCUGAACUAAUUUGACAAUACAUAUUUCACUUUAUUGAAAAAAGUGUAUAGUGACGUGGAUGAGACGACCAAUGCAACAUGGCUUCCCACUCAGACACAGUAUAUCGUCUCCGAUAAUUGCUUGUAUAA